CCCAGCUCUGGAUCCCCAGGUGUUUCCACUCUCUGAUCAGGACCAAAAUCAGACCACUCACCAUGGGCUUUGGGCUCAGCUGGAUUUUCAUUGUUUCUUUUUUAAGAGGUGUCCAGUGUGAGGUGCAGCUGGUGGAGUCUGGAGGAGGCUUGGUGCAGCCUGGGGGGUCUCUGAGACUCUCCUGUUCAGUCUCUGGUGUCACCUUCAGUAGCUACCCCAUGAACUGGGUCCGCCAGGCUCUAGGGAAGGGGCUAGAAUGGGUCUCAGGCAUUAGUAGUAAUGAUGUUAUAUUCUAUGCUGACUCUGUGAAAGGCCGAUUCACCAUCUCCAGAGACAACACCAAGAACACACUGUAUCUGCAAAUGAGCAGCCUGAGAGCCGAGGACACAGCCAUGUAUUACUGUGCAGGAGAGACACACAGUGAGGGGAAGUCAGUCUGA
Molecule: non-coding RNA, 440 nt
Organism: Myotis daubentonii (Daubenton's bat)
Lineage: Eukaryota; Metazoa; Chordata; Mammalia; Chiroptera; Vespertilionidae
Source: the annotation of a RefSeq genome assembly